UCCUACGGGAGGCAGCAGUAGGGAAUUUUCGUCAAUGGGGGGAACCCUGAACGAGCAAUGCCGCGUGAGUGAGGAAGGUCUUCGGAUCGUAAAGCUCUGUUGUAAGAGAAAAACGACAUUCAUAGGGAAUGAUGAGUGAGUGAUGGUAUCUUACCAGAAAGUCACGGCUAACUACGUGCCAGCAGCCGCGGUAAUACGUAGGUGGCGAGCGUUAUCCGGAAUGAUUGGGCGUAAAGGGUGCGUAGGUGGCAGAUCAAGUCUGGAGUAAAAGGUAUGGGCUCAACCCGUACUGGCUCUGGAAACUGAUCAGCUAGAGAACAGAAGAGGACGGCGGAACUCCAUGUGUAGCGGUAAAAUGCGUAGAUAUAUGGAAGAACACCGGUGGCGAAGGCGGCCGUCUGGUCUGGAUUCUGACACUGAAGCACGAAAGCGUGGGGAGCAAAUAGGAUUAGAUACCCUAGUAGUCCACGCCGUAAACGAUGAGAACUAGGUGUUGGGGGAAUAACUCAGUGCCGCAGUUAACGCAGUAAGUUCUCCGCCUGGGGAGUAUGCACGCAAGUGUGAAACUCAAAGGAAUUGACGGGGGCCCGCACAAGCGGUGGAGUAUGUGGUUUAAUUCGAAGCAACGCGAAGAACCUUACCAGGCCUUGACAUCCCUUGCAGAGGUAUAGAGAUAUAUCCGAGGUUACCAAGGAGACAGGUGGUGCAUGGUUGUCGUCAGCUCGUGUCGUGAGAUGUUGGGUUAAGUCCCGCAACGAGCGCAACCCUUGUGAUAUGUUACUAACAUUGAGUUGAGGACUCAUAUCAGACUGCCGGUGAUAAACCGGAGGAAGGUGGGGAUGACGUCAAAUCAUCAUGCCCCUUAUGGCCUGGGCUACACACGUACUACAAUGGCGUCUACAAAGAGCGGCAAGCCUGUGAAGGCAAGCGAAUCUCAUAAAGGGCGUCUCAGUUCGGAUUGAAGUCUGCAACCCGACUUCAUGAAGCUGGAAUCGCUAGUAAUCGCGAAUCAGCAUGUCGCGGUGAAUACGUUCUCGGGCCUUGUACACACCGCCCGUCAAACCAUGGGAGUUGGUAAUGCCCGAAGCCGGUGGCAUAACCCUUCGGGGAGUGAGCCGUCGAAGGCAGGACCGAUGACUGGGGUUAAGUCGUAACAAGGUAUCCCUACGGGAACGUGGGGAUG
This 1183-nucleotide ribosomal RNA is filed under the name human gut metagenome. RNAcentral's name for it is "bacterial SSU rRNA". It matches the Rfam family "Bacterial small subunit ribosomal RNA", at positions 337 to 1520 of the family's 1533-position model. The record is from RNAcentral.